CCAGACUCCUACGGGAGGCAGCAGUGAGGAAUAUUGGUCAAUGGACGUAAGUCUGAACCAGCCAAGUAGCGUGCAGGAUGACGGCCCUAUGGGUUGUAAACUGCUUUUGUAUGGGGAUAAAGUCAAUCACGUGUGAUUGUUUGCAGGUACCAUACGAAUAAGGACCGGCUAAUUCCGUGCCAGCAGCCGCGGUAAUACGGAAGGUUCGGGCGUUAUCCGGAUUUAUUGGGUUUAAAGGGGGCGUAGGCCGGAGAUUAAGUGUGUUGUGAAAUGUAGACGCUCAACGUCUGACUUGCAGCGCAUACUGGUUUCCUUGAGUACGCACAACGUUGGCGGAAUUCGUCGUGUAGCGGUGAAAUGCUUAGAUAUGACGAAGAACUCCGAUUGCGAAGGCAGCUGACGGGAGCGCAACUGACGCUGAAGCUCGAAGGUGCGGGUAUCGAACAGGAUUAGAUACCCUGGUAGUCCGCACAGUAAACGAUGGAUGCCCGCUGUUGGUACCUAGUAUCAGCGGCUAAGCGAAAGCAUUAAGCAUCCCACCUGGGGAGUACGCCGGCAACGGUGAAACUCAAAGGAAUUGACGGGGGCCCGCACAAG
Molecule: ribosomal RNA, 597 nt
Filed under: uncultured bacterium
Lineage: Bacteria
Description: bacterial SSU rRNA
Rfam family: Bacterial small subunit ribosomal RNA
Source: RNAcentral